This 1456-nucleotide long non-coding RNA is filed under the name Callithrix jacchus (white-tufted-ear marmoset). Its description in RNAcentral is "lncRNA (ENSCJAG00000073307.1)". The record is from RNAcentral. Lineage: Eukaryota; Metazoa; Chordata; Mammalia; Primates; Cebidae.
CACUUGAUAAUGAUGCUAUACAAUGUAUUUAUAACAUCUUAUACUUUUAAUUGUUAUUUUAGAGUAUACUCUUCUACUUAUAAAACAAUAGUUAACUGUAAAACAGCCUCAGGCGGUUCCUUCGGGAAGUAUUCCAGAAGGCAUUCUGCUCACAUUUUUUGGUGGAAAUAAUUCUUGGGUGGCAAAAAUUCUAUUCUGUGUACAACAGGGAUUGAAUUUUAGCAGGCUGCUAGGUGUUUCUAUCCCAUUAGAUAAACGGAAUAAUCCAAAUGUGGCCUAGAGAAAAGCCUUUGGAAACAGCAGACUUGGAUUCAGGUUUCGCCCCUUCCAAACUGAUGUCGGGUAAUUCUGAUACCCUGACUCAGCCUCCUUGUUUUUAUUUGUUUUGUUUUGGUUUUCUUUUUCUGAGAAAUCAAAGAAAAAAUGAAGUAACCAAUGAACUAACAAAAACAACCUGUUUUUAGCUGAGAUGAGAGGAGCUAAAAUUGGUAGAUUUAUCUGUAGCAAGACAAAAUCUUUCUUUGGUUUUGGUUUAAUGGUAGUACUGAAGAUUUUAACCUAAUGAUACUUUGGUAAGAAACCUUUUAGAGCAUGAGAACUGUCAAGUUAGAAUUCUUUGCUUAAAGAAGAAACUAGCAUCAGAGUGAACAGGCAACCUACAGAAUGAGAGAAGAUUUUUGCAAUCCACCCACCUGAAAAAAGUCUAAUAUCCGGAAUUUACAAGGAACUUAAACAAAUUUACAAAAAAAAAAAAAAAAAAAAGCCCCAAACAACCCCAUCAAAAAGGUGGACAAAGGAAAAAGGAUAUGAACAGACACUUCUCAAAAGAAGACGUUUAUGCAUCCAACAAUCAUAUGAAAAAAGAGCUCAUCACUGGUCAUUAAAGAAAAGCAAAUCAAAACCACAGUGAGAAACCAUCUCAUGCCAGUUAGAAUGGCGAUUAUUAAAGUCAGGAAGCAACAGAUGCUGGAGAGGAUGUGGAGAAAUGGGAACACUUUUAGACUGUUGGUGGGAGUGUAAGUUAGUUCAACCAUUGUGGAAGACAGUGUGGUGAUUCCUCAAGGAGCUAGAACCAGAAAUACCAUUUGACCCAGCAAUCCCAUUACUGGGUAUAUACCCAAAGGAUUAUAAAUCAUUCUACUAUAAAGACACAUGCGGGACAGGCACGGUGGCUCAAGCCUGUAAUCCCAGCACUUUGGGAGGCCGAGGCGGGUGGAUCACGAGGUCAAGAGAUCGGGACCAUCCUGGUCAACGUGGUGAAACCCCGUCUCUACUAAAAAUACAAAAAAUUAGCUGGGCAUGGUGGUGCGUGCCUGUAAUCCCACCUACUCGGGAGGCUGAGGCAGGAGAAUUGCCUGAGCCCAGGAGGCGGAGGUUGCAGUGAGCCGAGAUCGCGCCAUUGCACUCCAGCCUGGGUGACAAGAGCGAAACUCCGUCUCAAAAAAAAAAAAAAAAA